RNAcentral lists this ribosomal RNA (1963 nucleotides) under bacterium. RNAcentral's name for it is "bacterial SSU rRNA". It matches the Rfam family "Bacterial small subunit ribosomal RNA". The record is from RNAcentral.
UAUUUAGAGGAUUUGAUCCUGGUCCAGGAUGAACGCUGGCGGCGUGGAUAAGGCAUGCAAGUCGAGCGCCCAGCACCAUUUUCGCAAGAAAAUAGUGCUGGGAGCGGCAGACGAGUUAGUAACACCUUGGCACAUACCUCAAAGACGGGCAUAGCUCACCGAAAGGUGAGGUAAUUCCCGAUAGUCCCAGCACCUUUAAUAAAGGUGCUGGGUAAAUCUCGCAAGAGGCUUUGAGAUUGGCCUAGGUCUGAUCAGCUAGUUGGUGAGGUAAUGGCUCACCAAGGCUAUGACCAGUAGGGGGGCUGAGAGGCUGAUCCCCAACGACGGCACUGAGAUACGGGCCGUACACCUACGGGUGGCUGCAGUCGAGAAUAUUUGACAAUGGACGCAAGUCUGAUCAAGCGACGCCGCGUGAAGGAUGAAGGUCUUCGGAUUGUAAACUUCUUUUCUACGGGAAAAACCCAGCACCUUUUUCGUGCUAUAAUUUUUUCUAUGUAUUACGUGUAUGUAAUUCAAAGUCACAAAACAAAAGAUUUGUACUUUGGAAUAACAUCAGAUUUAGACAAGAGAUUAGGAUCUCAUAAUCAAGGUAAAACAAAUCUACAAAAUUUGGUUCGCCUUGGGAGUUUGUCUACAUAGAAAGUUAUAGGUCAGAAAAAGAUGCCAGAGUUCGUGAACGAAUGUUAAAGCAUUAUGGUAAUGCGCGAACUUAUGUAAAGAGACGAAUUAAAAAUAGUCUUUUGUAGCACGAAAAAGGUGCUGGGUGAUGGUACUGUAGGAAUAAGGAGCUGCUAACCUCGUGCCAGCAGCCGCGGUAAGACGAGGGCUCCAAGCGUUAUCCGGAUUUAUUGGGCGUAAAGGGUGCUCAGGAGGACAAUUAAGUUUACUGUUAAAUCUCGGGGCUUAACUUCGAGGCCGCAGUGAAUACUGAUAGUCUCCUCUGUACAAAUAUUUUCACACAUUGAUAAAGAAAUUUUCGAGAAAGUCCGAGGCGCUUGUCAGAAAGGUAUCCGUCAGCUGACGGAUACGAUUUCCUCAACCCGCGAACGCAGAGAGCGGAGCAGUCGUCGUAUGACGGCCUCGCGCCUUGCACUUGAUACAAAAUAAAAGGAUUUCAAUCUAGUGGAAACAUUUGUACAGAGGAGACGUGUCUAGAGUGUGCAAGAGGCUGAUAGAACUCACGGUGUAGGGGUGAAAUCCGUUGAUAUCGUGGGGAAUACCAAAGGCGAAGGCAUUCAGCUGGUGCAUUACUGACUCUCAAGCACGAAAGCGUGGGGAGCAAAAAGGAUUAGAUACCCUUGUAGUCAACGCCCUAAACCAUGCAUACUAGCUAUUUCGAGUAUCGACCCUCGGAGUGGCGUAGCUAACGCGUUAAGUAUGCCGCCUGGGAAGUACGGCCGCAAGGCUAAACCUCAAAGGAAUAGACGGGGACUCGCACAAGCGGUGGAGCAUGAGGUUCAAUUCGACGGUAAGCGAGGAACCUUACCAGGGUUUGAAAUCCAGACGAAGUCUCGCAGAAACGUGAGAUGUCUCUCAAGGACGGCUGGACAGGUGCUGCAUGGUUGUCGUCAGCUCGUGUUUUGAAAUGUUCCCUUAAGUGGGGUAACGAGCGCAACCCUUAUCUGAUGUUAUAUAUGUCAUCGGAGACUGCCCUCUUUUUGGGGGAGGAAGGAGAGGACGACGUCAAAUCCGCAUGGCCCUCUGAUACCCUGGGCUACACUCGUGCUACAAUGGCUAAAACAAUGGGUUGCCAAGCCGCAAGGCGGAGCUAAUCCCAUCAAAAAUAGCCUCAGUUCAGAUUGAGGGCUGCAACUCGCCCUCAUGAAGCCGGAAUCGCUAGUAAUCGCGCAUCAGCAAUGGCGCGGUGAAUACGUUCUCGAGUCCUGUACUCACAAUAAAAGCGCUAAGCAGGUUAUGAAAUCCCGAUUCGCUAUUAGCGAAUCGCGGAUGCUCGAUCUCAUUU